UACGUAGGGGGCUAGCGUUGUCCGGAAUCAUUGGGCGUAAAGCGCGCGUAGGCGGUCAGGAAAGUCCGGUGUGAAAGUCAUAGGCUCAACCUAUGGAUGCCGCUGGAAACUGCCUGGCUUGAGUCCGGAAGGGGCGAGUGGAAUUCCUGGUGUAGCGGUGAAAUGCGCAGAUAUCAGGAGGAACACCAAUGGCGAAGGCAGCUCGCUGGAACGGUACUGACGCUGAGGCGCGAAAGCGUGGGGAGCGAACAGG
Molecule: ribosomal RNA, 253 nt
Filed under: uncultured bacterium
Lineage: Bacteria
Description: partial 16S ribosomal RNA
Rfam family: Bacterial small subunit ribosomal RNA
Source: RNAcentral